This 822-nucleotide ribosomal RNA is filed under the name uncultured marine bacterium. Its description in RNAcentral is "bacterial SSU rRNA". It matches the Rfam family "Bacterial small subunit ribosomal RNA", at positions 61 to 931 of the family's 1533-position model. The record is from RNAcentral.
GUCGAACGAAGUAGCAAUACUUAGUGGCAGACGGGUGAGUAACAUGUGGGUAUCUGCCCUUUGGCCUGGAAUAACACGAGGAAACUUGUGCUAAUACCGGAUAAGUCUUUACGGAGAAAGCUUUAUGCACCAUUGGAUGAGCCCGCACUUGAUUAGUUUGUUGGUGGGGUAAUGGCCUACCAAGACUGUGAUCAAUAGCUGAUUUGAGAGGAUGAUCAGCCACAUUGGGACUGAGACACGGCCCAAACUCCUACGGGAGGCAGCAGUGGGGAAUCUUGCACAAUGGAGGAAACUCUGAUGCAGCGAUGCCGCGUGAGUGAAGAAGGCCUUUGGGUUGUAAAGCUCUUUCGUCGGGGAAGAAAAUGACUGUACCCGAAUAAGAAGGUCCGGCUAACUUCGUGCCAGCAGCCGCGGUAAUACGAAGGGACCUAGCGUAGUUCGGAAUUACUGGGCUUAAAGAGUUCGUAGGUGGUUGAAAAAGUUGGUGGUGAAAUCCCAGAGCUUAACUCUGGAACUGCCAUCAAAACUUUUCAGCUAGAGUUUGAUAGAGGAAAGCAGAAUUUCUAGUGUAGAGGUGAAAUUCGUAGAUAUUAGAAAGAAUACCAAUUGCGAAGGCAGCUUUCUGGAUCAUUACUGACACUGAGGAACGAAAGCAUGGGUAGCGAAGAGGAUUAGAUACCCUCGUAGUCCAUGCCGUAAACGAUGUGUGUUAGACGUUGGAAAUUUAUUUUCAGUGUCGCAGCGAAAGCGAUAAACACACCGCCUGGGGAGUACGACCGCAAGGUUAAAACUCAAAUGAAUUGACGGGGACCCGCACAAGUA